CCUACGGGGGCAGCAGUGGGGGAUAUUGCACAAUGGGGGAAACCCUGAUGCAGCGACGCCGCGUGUGGGAAGACGGUCCUCUGGAUUGUAAACCACUGUCCCCAGGGACGAAGAUGACGGUACCUGGGGAGGAAGCUCCGGCUAACUACGUGCCAGCAGCCGCGGUAAUACGUAGGGAGCGAGCGUUGUCCGGAAUUACUGGGUGUAAAGGGAGCGUAGGCGGGACUGCAAGUUGGGUGUCAAAUCUACCGGCUCAACCGGUAGCCGCACUCAAAACUGCAGUUCUUGAGUGAAGUAGAGGCAGGCGGAAUUCCUAGUGUAGCGGUGAAAUGCGUAGAUAUUAGGAAGAACACCAGUGGCGAAGGCGGCUUUCUGGACUGAAACUGACGCUGAGGCACGAAAGCGUGGGGAGCGAACAGGAUUAGAUACCCUUGUAGUC
Molecule: ribosomal RNA, 439 nt
Filed under: uncultured bacterium
Lineage: Bacteria
Description: partial 16S ribosomal RNA
Rfam family: Bacterial small subunit ribosomal RNA
Source: RNAcentral